GAGCGCAGGCCGCGCCGGCCUCGGGAGGGGAGGGGAGCUCUCAGGAGGGACAGAGGGUCCCACAGGAGCUUGAGAGGCCGCGGAAGACCUCGACCCUUUCUGGCACUUCGGCGACCGCAGCUCCAGGGCCGGACGGUGCUCUGCAGAAAGGCCUGCAGCGGACAGCGGCUCUUCCGGCUGUGGGCGACCCCCUCGGAUCGCGCCCAGGGUCGCGCAGGGUCUGGCUGGGGAGCUGGCCGGGGAGCUGGGUGCACGGGGCAGGCAGGCUUGGGGCGGGGCAGAGAGAAUGCGGGCAGUAAGCCAGGUUUCCAGUUGUUUGAUUUCUUUCCUUUCUUUCGUUUGGACCGCGCCUGGGCCUGGGCGGUCAGGAACCCACCUGCUGGGGCGGCCCGGCCCAGAGCGCGGGAGCCGCCUUCGCCCCGGAACCAGGCUGGCUCGCUCGCGCUCGCUCCGCUCCUUCAUUCCUUCAUCUCUUGCACGCUCGCGUGUAUUCACGUGGGCAACUGUGUGCGAGUGAGCACACCCUCCUGCGAGCGGCGUCAGGGGACCUCGCUCAGGACACUGCCAGCAUCAGUCGUUCAGAGCCCCGCGGGCCCUAGGCGCCCGAGGCAUUUCGUCGCCUGCUUUGCCGCCGCUGGGGAACCAUGGCCGGUUGUGGGUUCAGUAGAGACUGGACCCGGGGUCGAGGAUCGGGUAGUGAAUCGUCAAGCGCGGCCCCUGGGCCACCGAACGCCAGGACUGCAUCGCCCAGUCCUGGCUGGGCUCCGCGGGCACCAGAGAGCGGGGUGGAAGAGGCGGAUCGCGUGUGGCGACACAGGGCGCAGCGGACCCCGCUCGAGCACCCGCCCUGGACCUGUGGGCGCGCAGACGGAGAGGCGAGGAGAGGAACUCCGGGUGUGAACUCAGAAACACCCAAAUUGGAGUUUGCGGCGUCUGACCCCAGCCUCACUCUACCUGUGAAAUGAGAACAGUGCUGCUGGGCUCAUGCAGCAUUUCUGAGAACUCCUAUAUUUUCAUGGAGUGUUAAACAACUGAAAACAUUUUAAAGGACCCUCUGUGAAGUGGGCAGCCCGAGUCUGGGCCUGAGUCUUUUCCCAGAUGGAGUAGGAAGCAGAGCCCAAAGAUGCAUCUCUGGCCCGCAAGCCUGUGCCACCUGGUCCUUGUGCACCAGAGGAGGGGCUUCCCCAAGGCUGUGUGGUCCCCUUGGCCUCCACCCUGUCCAGUCUGACCUCUGCAAGUCCAGCAGACCUUCUCAUCGCAUGCUUGGAGCUCAGGCAUGUCCAGGACAACUGAAAGGCAAGUGGGCAAACCCUGGCCAGGGCUGGGGUGCAGCCCAGAGCCAGGGACCUGGCCAGGCCCCUCCCCAUCCCCUGAGGCCCCACUUGUGGCUGGUCCAGCAACCAGCCUCGUGCAUUUCCUACAAGUUGCUGCACUCAAAAUUCCUCAUUUCUAACCCACAGAAAUCUCUUCAGUCAUUUAGGAGAAAUCCACCAACGUUCCUAAUUUAGAAUAACUUUCUGAGGGGUGAAAACAAACAGCAGGGAUUUAAGAUAUACCUGCAGGCUGAACCUAGCUGAGCAAAGCAGCAGAAUGCAGACACCUGGACAGAGUUUCUCCCAGGCCUUGGGGACUGUAGCUCUUUCACGUGGAGGGUGUUUUCAGACUAGCUUGCUCGUGGCUGUGGGUGUAACAUCAAAGCCCUUUUGUAAGAGCGGAUUAACAGCAACACAAUACUAAGGUACAACCCCCCCCCACCAAGUUUUCUUGGGGUUCCUGGGAUCAGCCCCCACCCCGCCUGGCAGUUUCCUGUCACCUGGGUGGCUGUGCAGAAUCCCUGUCUCCAGUCCCACCUGUUACACCAGCUGUGCGAGCUUCAGCAAGAUACUUAGCCGGGCCCAGAGCCUCGCUGUGGCCCCGAGAGCUGGAGGACGAGGGGUCCACGCUCUGUGCACCCUCUGGGUGGCGCCGAGACACUACAGCCCUUGUGAGAGUGUCCACUUCUCCCCAGCGCCGCAGGCUGGAGAGUUCCCAGUCAAGAACAGACUUUUUCUCCCUUAAUUCUCUUCACCUCCACUCCGAACACUGUCCGGCCUCUGAAAGAGAGCACUUGUGCCAGACCACUGCACAGAAGUGAUCUUUCUUAGGUCACAACUAUGAACUCCCAAAUUUCGAUGGAAAAUCAACAAAUUUCAAGAAAAACUAAUGAUUGGUUCAAAGGAAUGUAUUUCUUUCUCUUUGUUUUUUAUUCUACUGCUUCUUCCAAAAUGCCUAGAGGAAGAUGGGAAGGAGUGGGACCCACCCACAACAGUGCAGCCACCAGCCUGGAGAAUCUGCCUAGGUCCUGCGCCCUCGGGGGCUCCUGGCCAGGUGUGAGAGGCGGAGGGGGCUGUGAGACAGCCUGGGAAUCUCAUAUUGAAUUUAAGAAAAACAAAACAAAACAAAACAGACAAUAGUAUUAGUUUGAAAUCCACCCAUUAAAGCAAUCUUAAGCUGAGAGGCUGAGGACACUUGUUUGUUUAGCUUAAGAGACUGCUUUAAUGGGUGGAUUUCAACCCGCUAUUAUGUUGGGUGUCUUAAACAAAAUGCCAAGACCAUAGCAUAGCACAGCGGGCCUGCAGAAGCUCACAGGAGACCCGGAGGCUCCGCACAAGCAGUGCUCUGGUCAGGAAAUAAAACACACGCAGCCCGGCUGCUCUGAGGCUCCCUGUCACUAAACUAAGUUUCCUUGAAGCAGCCACUGAGUAGCAGUCCAUUAAAAAGCAGUUACUACUAAAAAUCUGAGGGAUAGUAAGGCCAGCAGAUCGAGUGGGAAAGAGUAUGUUAACAUUUCUUGGGGGGAACGUGGGGUGUGGGGUCAGCAGGAGGCAGAGGGAGAAGGGCUAACUGUGGGCAGGAGCCUUUGCCACAGAGGAAGGGAUGGUCAGGCAGGGUGAGCAGGUUUAGGUUGCCUGGAGGGAAGAUCCCAACAGGCUCUGGGGUGCAGGGCCUGGCCCGAGCCCUCUGGCACCCGGGCCUGGAGAUAGGGCAGGGGAUGGCGACCAGGAGUGUAAGAGACCUUCAGAGGAGGCCGCUGAGUUGGCUCAGGACUCUGGGUCUGCACACGAAAGACAGGCUCCUGGGUGAGUUCUGUGGUCCCCGCAGGACUUGGCUAACUCUGGGAGACACAGUCCCUCAAGGGUCUGCAAAGCCCCAGCAAUCAAAGAAUCCGGAUAUAGAAAACACAGGGCGUGAUGAAUAUGCAUCCAUCUUUGCCACUCCAGAACCUAAAAUAAUGCUUUGCACAUAGUGGGCACUCAACAAAGAGGAAAAGAUGGAAAGAAAAAAGGAAAGGAAGAAGGAAGAGGGAAGCACCUGUUGGCUAGUUGGGUCGUAAGAGGGCUGCUUUUGAUAGCCUUAUUCCCACAAACUCUGCAGUAAGCUGCCCAGAGC
This is a long non-coding RNA of Heterocephalus glaber (naked mole-rat), 3429 nucleotides long. The record is from Ensembl. NCBI's taxonomy places the organism in Eukaryota, Metazoa, Chordata, Mammalia, Rodentia, Bathyergidae.